UAUAGCUGCAGACCAGGAUUCAGUUUCACUAGCUCUUGCCCAAGGAGGUGACUACAGAUGCUUAGGCUGCUAUGAAGUCCUCUUUGCUUCCCAGGUUACUGCUUUAGUCACACCCAUAGAAGGAAUCCAGUCCAUGGAACCUGUGAUGGGAGCAAGCGUAUGGUUUUGCAACCUUGGGAAAAUCAUUCUGAAUCUAUUUCUCUCUCUAAAACUGGAACCACCUCAUCAGGCCAAUGGAGCAGUGUAUGAAAACAUAAAAAUGAUCGUGUACAUGAAUCCAAUAACGAAACAAAUGAUGAUGGGAUCUCUGUGUAGGAAGUUCUGACCAUUUGAACUUCUCGGAGGCCAUGGGAUUCAGAGAAAGGGAGAACUUGAAUGGGGAACUUGAUCUUCUCCAACCAAUAACUAGAACCACACGUCAACCAGCCUACCAGAUGGGGAGAGAAGUCCAGCAGGCACGAGACUUGUACUAUCAGGAGGCAUCUAUCACACAGUUCAAGCAAACUUGGCAGCUCCGUGGAAUCCACUGGCAUGCAAGGCCUUCAUGCUAGUGGGGGAGGAAGGCGGCAGGAGCAUUUGCCACUCAAAAGGCAAAGGUGCUCAGGACCUGUGAAAUUCAUGCACCUACCCUCCUGGACUCUCCACCUACGGGUCACACUGGCCAGCAGGUGGAGCUGCUGGUUCACCUUCUUGUCAGAGUCCGUGUAACCUGGGAAGGCCAGCUGGACAGGAGUUAGAAUCCUGUUUGAGUCAGGUCUUGAGCCAUUCUCUCCACAUGUUAUGGUCAAGCACCCAGUCUUCUAGUCAGCACUGUCCCCAGCUAAGCUUUGUCUAUAUAUGCUUUGACCUGUGCAGAGCAACUCUUACUUGCGCAUGCUCAGACUUGCUUAAUGGAGACUCCCUGGCAGAAGUCUUGUGUCGUGCAGAGAGUGAUAGGGGGGUGUGGGUGCAGUUUGUUGGGAAGAUUGAGUGAGUCUCAAAUGAGGUUUUAUUUGAAGGCAUAAUUGAACGCUUUAUUUUCUUCCCUCUCCAUUCAAGGAGAAAUAUCUCAUUUGUAGAAACACCUCAUUUGGGUGUCAGAGCCUCGGGCUAGGUCACUUUCUGUAAGUACAAGGUAAAGGAGCACUUAGGCACAGAACACUUUUACAAGUCACUUAUUCAGUUGUUAACAGGCACUGAAGAAGGAUUAGGACUACAAAACAAACAGAAACCCAUUCUAGGACUACAAGACAAACAGAAACCAUUCCUGCCUUCACCUUCAAUGUAGAGGAUCAUGAAAAAGCAAGGUGCAUCAGCAGGAAGCUGGGUCAGAAGCAGAGCAGCUGGGACUCAAACUGAAGCUCAUAUGGGAUGCCGGCGUGGCAGUUAGCAGCUUAACCCCUGGACCACAAAGUUAGCUGCAAAGCUGUGCCGGCAUCCUAUAUGGGUGCCAGUUCAUCUCCUGGCUGCUCCACUUCUCAUUCAGCUCUCUGCUAUGGCCUGGGAAAGCAGUAGAAGAUGACCUAAGUCCUUGGGUCCCUGCACCUGCAUGGGGGACCUGGAAGAAGCUCUUAGCUCCUGGCUUCAGAUCGGCACAGCUCCAGCCAUUGCAGCCAACUGGGGCGUGAACCAUUGGAAGGAAGACCUCUCUCUCUCUCUUUCUUUCUCUGCCUCUUCUUCUUUCUCUGUAUAACUUCGGCUUUCAAAUAAAUAAAUGAAACUUUUUAAAAAAGAAAGAAAAAUGCAAAUGUUUACAUGGUACAACCCCCAUAUCCUGGGUAAGAGGAGGUACUUCCUGGGGAGGGGUCCCCUGAUUGACAGGAAAAUGAAUAUGAAAACACAAAGUGAACUAGGUAUGACUUCGAGGUCAUUUAAAAUUACCUAUCUAAUCUUCACCACAUCAAUAAGAGGUGAUUAGUAUAAGUCUUUUCAUGUGAUUAAUGAGUUAUUGCCAGAGGUCUGCUAUAGAAAUUACUUUGGGGGACUGGAUUUGUGGUAUAAUGGGUUAAAUUGCAACCUGCAAUGCCAGCAAGCCAUAUGGGUGCCAGUUCAAGUACUGACCACUCCAAUUCUGAUGUAGUUCCUUGCUAAUGUGAGGGUGGCAGGGGAUGUCCCAAGUGCUUGCCUCCGAGCACCCAUGUGGAAAUGGGGAUGGCAUUCCAGACUCAGCAUUGGCCUCAUCCAGAUCUGGUCAUUUUGACCAGUUGGGACAUGAAGCAGUGGAUAGAGGAUCACUCUGUGUGUCUGUGUGCGUGUGUGUGUGUGUGUGUAUCUCUUAACUCUGUGACUGGGGCACUGGCUCACUCAGACCUCUGGCCAGGGCAGGGGGCAGGGUCCACUGAUCAAAGCUCUUGGGGCAGGAGGCCCCUGCCCUGAAGCCCAUGAUCCAGGCCUCCCCCGGCUGCCUCUCCUGGUCCCUUCAUGCUUGGUUCUGUUAGAGGCAAGCACCUGCAGGAGCCCCUGCCCCACCACGCACGGAAACUCCCCUGAAGCCCCCUCACCCACGCAGGCAUCACCGCCAUGCUAGCGUCCUUCAUGGUCGGGCUGUACUACAACACCAUCAUCGCCUGGAUCCUGUGGUACUUCUUCAACUCCUUCCAGGACCGACUGCCCUGGAGCCAGUGCCCGCUGGACCAGAACCUCCCGGGUGAGCUGCGCCUGGGGCCGAAGCCAGGGUCCUGGAGGGGCUGGGGGCAGGGAGCCCUGAGACUCCGCUCCCCCCAGGGCAGCCAAGGGAGAGGGAGGCCGUCAGGAGCUCGGGAGCACUUAGCCUCGGGUGCGUGCACAUGUGCUGCUCCCGCCGACACGCGUCACGGCCGCGCCCUGGCAGGCUACACGGAUGAGUGUGCGCAGCUCCUCCGUGGACUAAUUCUGGUACUGCCAGACACUCAACA
Molecule: non-coding RNA, 2873 nt
Organism: Oryctolagus cuniculus (rabbit)
Lineage: Eukaryota; Metazoa; Chordata; Mammalia; Lagomorpha; Leporidae
Source: RefSeq, a predicted model, not a curated record